UCAAACUUGGUCAUUUAGAGGAAGUAAAAGUCGUAACAAGGUUUCCGUAGGUGAACCUGCGGAAGGAUCAUUACCGAGAUAGGGUCCCUCCUUCGGGGCCCGACCUCCCAACCCUUAUGUCUACUCACCUCGUUGCUUCGGUGGGCCGGAUUCGACCAACUGGUCGUUAACCGCCGGUCUCGGGCUGGAGAGCUGCCCGCGGAUGGCCUCGACACCAAACUCUUUGUACCAAAAUCUGUCGUCUGAAUUAUAUUAGAUUUUGAAUCAAAACCAAAACUUUCAACAACGGAUCUCUUGGUUCUGGCAUCGAUGAAGAACGCAGC
RNAcentral lists this unclassified non-coding RNA (323 nucleotides) under uncultured fungus. Its description in RNAcentral is "partial contains small subunit ribosomal RNA, internal transcribed spacer 1, and 5.8S ribosomal RNA". The stretch from base 1 to 73 matches the Rfam family "Eukaryotic small subunit ribosomal RNA", at positions 1759 to 1831 of the family's 1831-position model. The record is from RNAcentral. Lineage: Eukaryota; Fungi.